AUACGGAGGGUGCGAGCGUUAAUCGGAAUUACUGGGCGUAAAGCGUGCGUAGGCGGUUUAUUAAGUCAGAUGUGAAAGCCCCGUGCUUAACCUGGGAACUGCAUUUGAUACUGGUAGACUAGAGUAUGGUAGAGGGGGGUAGAAUUCCUAGUGUAGCGGUGAAAUGCGUAGAUAUUAGGAGGAAUACCAGUGGCGAAGGCGGCCCCCUGGACCAAUACUGACGCUGAGGUACGAAAGCGUGGGGAGCGAACAGGAUUAGAUACCCCAGUAGUCC
RNAcentral lists this ribosomal RNA (274 nucleotides) under uncultured bacterium. Its description in RNAcentral is "partial 16S ribosomal RNA". It matches the Rfam family "Bacterial small subunit ribosomal RNA", at positions 523 to 796 of the family's 1533-position model. The record is from RNAcentral.